Molecule: ribosomal RNA, 392 nt
Filed under: uncultured bacterium
Lineage: Bacteria
Description: partial 16S ribosomal RNA
Rfam family: Bacterial small subunit ribosomal RNA
Source: RNAcentral
AUACGUAGGUGGCAAGCGUUAUCCGGAAUUAUUGGGCGUAAAGAGGGAGCAGGCGGCAGCAAGGGUCUGUGGUGAAAGCCUGAAGCUUAACUUCAGUAAGCCAUAGAAACCAGGCAGCUAGAGUGCAGGAGAGGAUCGUGGAAUUCCAUGUGUAGCGGUGAAAUGCGUAGAUAUAUGGAGGAACACCAGAGGCGAAGGCGACGAUCUGGCCUGCAACUGACGCUCAGUCCCGAAAGCGUGGGGAGCAAAUAGGAUUAGAUACCCUAGUAGUCCACGCCGUAAACGAUGAGUACUAAGUGUUGGAUGUCAAAGUUCAGUGCUGCAGUUAACGCAAUAAGUACUCCGCCUGAGUAGUACGUUCGCAAGAAUGAAACUCAAAUGAAUUGACGGGG